RNAcentral lists this ribosomal RNA (678 nucleotides) under Triticum aestivum (bread wheat). RNAcentral's name for it is "partial small subunit ribosomal RNA". The record is from RNAcentral. Lineage: Eukaryota; Viridiplantae; Streptophyta; Magnoliopsida; Poales; Poaceae.
AUGGGAAUCACUAUAGACCGACAAGCAAAAAAUUAUGAGGUGCACGAGUUAGUUGUUGAACACAACCAUGUCUUGCAGUUACCUGGGACAAGCCACAUGAUGCCAUCACAACGGAAGAUUUCGGCCUUGCAAGCAUUUGAAAUUGAAACAGCGGAUGAUUCUGGAAUUGUACCUAAAAGAGCCCAUGAGUUAGCAAGUCGACAAGUUGGUGGUCCACUGAACCUUGGCUACACAUGUCGUGAUCGCAAGAAUCACUUGCGAACCAGGCGUCAAAGGGACUUGGUGUAUGGUGAAGCCGCAAGUAUGCUUAAGUACUUUAGAGAUAAAAAGAAUGAGAAUCCUGCAUUUGAAUAUGAUAUGCAACUAGAUUGCAAUGAACAAAUAGCGAAUAUCUUUUGGGCUGAUGCAAAGAUGAUCAUUGACUAUGCUCAUUUCGGUGAUGUUGUUACUUUCGAUACAACAUUUGGGACAAACAAAGAGUACAGACCCUUCGAUGUGUUUGUUGGAUUCAACCAUUUUAGAGAAAUGGUCAUUUUUGGUGCUGCACUUUUAUAUGAUGAGACAUUUGAAUCAUUCAAAUGGUUGUUCAACACGUUCCUAUCAUUGCAUAACAAGAAGCUGAAGGAAAUAUGCCCUAGAGGCAAUAAUAAAGUUAUUAUUUAUUUCCUUAUAUCAUGA